CCUUGUUUCAGUCCUACUACUGCUUGUUUUUCAAAUUGACUAUUUGCUGCAGGAUUUUUUUUUUUCUAAUUUACCAGGCAGCUGGAGCUUAUUAGACACGAUUUUCUGCUGUAGUAUUGAUAACAGCACACCUGUAAACACCCUCUAUAACUAGCAACUUUAGGCACUUGUGGAAUCCGCCUGCCACAGCCUAUGUGGCAAGGAUGCUGGGUAACCACGGCAUAGCAGCAUAGGUCCAAACUUUCUUAAGCACAUUUUUUUCCCUGCUUCCUAAUCUCUCCUGACAUAAUGUUAAAAAUUAUUACUUAGCUGCAUAAAGAGAACUAUCUGUCAAUUAUUUACCUGCUUACAUGUGGGACCAGGUAGCCAGAAGCUGUUCUAGCAAACCAAGGCCCAGUUUCCAAGAAAGCAGAAAACCAACUGCAGCCACCUGACUCAACUCUCUAUCUAGGUCUCUAUGGGGAGGAUGGCAGUUCUGAGCUGGUUGUCUGGAUGGCUGUUUACUGACACCCUGAAUCCAGGCUGGGAGGCGAGUCCCUGGAGAUUUGCUAGAUCAGAGGGAAACAGGAGACCCAUCUGCAACCUGCUUAUUAGCGAGUCAUCAGCAGAUUAAUUUGUACAAAGAGAUCACAGUAAUGGGCUGAGGCCAGCUGAGUGCCUAUAUGGUCCUGAAAGCACUGAUGCCACAGAGAUGGGAAAGACCAGAUAAAGUGACUUCAAGGGAGGGCACCUUAAAACAGAAAGAAAAAGAAGGGUGGGAUUGUUGGGUGAGUCACUCCAGAAUACUUGGCGUUGAUAUCAAAUCAAUGGGUUCAGCCUGGUCAUGUGGUUUCUUUUCUUUCUGGGUACGGAUCUCUAUAAGCUGGAGAAGCUGAUGGGAGUAUGGUAUUUGCAACCACUUUAUUUUCUCUGGGAUAAAAAUACUCUGCAAACUUUGGUUUUAUUUUCCAUUCGCAACAGCUGAGCCCUAGGCUGGAGGGAAUGAAUGUGUUAUCCCACUGUGAAAACAUCUAAACAGGUGGAAAGGACAAAGGAGGAUAGAAAGGCAGGGUGGAGACAGUCUGGUUUUAGACAAAAAUCCUGUUUCCUUUCUGAAAACAGAGCAAGUCUGGGUCCUGUAGGUUACUUUAAACUAAAAGCUGAAAUUCAAUUCUAAUUUCUUUGCUUACAUGAAAGAAGCUUGAAUUGGGAGACAUCAGGAAGAAAAUAGUUGGGAAGAAACUGUCAGAGAAAAAAUUAUGGGCAAUGUGCUGCUUUUUCAGUCAGGCCCAACCAUUCUGCUAAAUAACUUCAUUCUUCACCUGUAACUUCCAUUAUGCCAGCUGGAGUCUUCCAAACAGCUUAAGUUAAGUGUUUCUGUUCUCAGCUCUUUAUGAAAAUAAUCCCAGUUCUGAGAUAGCUCUGAUGAAGCACCUC
This is a long non-coding RNA of Oxyura jamaicensis (ruddy duck), 1416 nucleotides long. RefSeq lists it as uncharacterized. Lineage: Eukaryota; Metazoa; Chordata; Aves; Anseriformes; Anatidae. The transcript has 3 exons. The record is from RefSeq and is a predicted model, not a curated record.